Non-coding RNA from Pelobates cultripes (western spadefoot toad), 204 nucleotides. NCBI's taxonomy places the organism in Eukaryota, Metazoa, Chordata, Amphibia, Anura, Pelobatidae. The record is from the annotation of a GenBank genome assembly.
GUCAGAUGUAUAGAUAUUGGAGCAAUGGAUGCAAAACAAAUGAAAGGAAUCAAUUUUAAACUUUUGAGUGUAAGUAAUUUCCAAGGUACUAAAUGGCAUUUCAGAGAGAAUCUUUGUCAAGGCUCUGAUAAGAUGCCAAGUGGGUUAUAAGCUGAAUCCAUGAACAAUAACACUUUUGGAGAAUGUGCUUGUGAGCAUGGGUUG